This 1024-nucleotide ribosomal RNA is filed under the name Microthyriaceae sp. DSM-2021a. RNAcentral describes it as "SSU rRNA". It matches the Rfam family "Eukaryotic small subunit ribosomal RNA", at positions 84 to 1113 of the family's 1831-position model. Lineage: Eukaryota; Fungi; Ascomycota; Dothideomycetes; Microthyriales; Microthyriaceae. The record is from RNAcentral.
AAACUGCGAAUGGCUCAUUAAAUCAGUUAUUCGUUUAUUUGAUAAGUACCUACUACUUGGAUACCCGUGGUAAUUCUAGAGCUAAAUACAUGCGUAAAGUCCCGACUCCGGGAAGGGAUGUAUUUAUUAGAUAAAAAACCAAUGCCCUUCGGGGCUCUCUGGUGAAAUCAUGAUAACUCAACGAAUCGCAUAGCCAUGAGCUGGCGAUGGUUCAUUCAAAUUUCUGCCCUAUCAACUUUCGAUUGGUGAGUAGUGUUCACCAAAUGGUAUCGACGGGUAACGAAGAAUUAGGGUUCGAUCUCGGAGAGGACGCCUGAGAAACGGCGUGCACAUCCAAGGAAGGCAGCAGGCGCGCAAAUUACCCAAUCCCAAUUCGGGGAGGUAGUGACAAAAAAUACUGAUGCAGGGCUCUUUUGGGUCUUGCAAUUAGAAUGAGUACAAUUUAAAUCCCUUAACGAGGAACAAUUGGAGGGCAAGUCUGGUGCCAGCAGCCGCGGUAAUUCCAGCUCCAAUAGCGUAUAUUAAAGUUGUUGCAGUUAAAAAGCUCGUAGUUGAAACUUGGGUCUGGCUGUCCGGUCCGCCUCACCGCGUGUACUGGCUCGGCCGGACCUUUCCUUCUGGGGAAGCACAUGGUCUUUAUUGACUGUGUGGGGAACCAGGACUUUUACUUUGAAAAAAUUAGAGUGUUCAAAGCAGGCCUUUGCUCGAAUACAUUAGCAUGGAAUAAUGGAAUAGGACGGCUUUUCUAUUUUGUUGGUUUCUAGGAGAGCCGUAAUGAUUAAUAGGGACAGUCGGGGGCAUCAGUAUUCAAUUGUCAGAGGUGAAAUUCUUGGAUUUAUUGAAGACUAACUACUGCGAAAGCAUUUGCCAAGGAUGUUUUCAUUAAUCAGUGAACGAAAGUUAGGGGAUCGAAGACGAUCAGAUACCGUCGUAGUCUUAACCAUAAACUAUGCCGACUAGGGAUCGGUGGAUGUUACUUUUUGACUCCAUCGGCACCCUUACGAGAAAUCAAAGUUUGGUAGCU